Molecule: ribosomal RNA, 253 nt
Filed under: uncultured bacterium
Lineage: Bacteria
Description: partial 16S ribosomal RNA
Rfam family: Bacterial small subunit ribosomal RNA
Source: RNAcentral
UACGUAGGGGGCAAGCGUUGUCCGGAUUUAUUGGGCGUAAAGAGCGUGUAGGCGGCUUGGUAGGUCCGCUGUGAAAACUCGAGGCUCAACCUCGAGAUGUCGGCGGAAACCACUUGGCUAGAGUCCGGAAGAGGAGAGUGGAAUUCCCGGUGUAGCGGUGAAAUGCGCAGAUAUCAGGAAGAACACCCGUGGAGAAGGCGGCUCUCUGGGACGGUACUGACGCUGAGACGCGAAAGCGUGGGGAGCGAACAGG